UCUUUAUCACUAGACAUCAGGACCCAGGUCCGCCCAAAGCCGAAAAUAACAUGCUAGGCAGACCCUGAUACAUCCAGCAAAUUAAAAAAACAGUAUUUGGAAAAUCUCAAAAUCUGCUUAUAACCUUGGCCUGGCUAGUUUGAUAUCCUUGGCUAACAACAGACGAGCAGAACCAAGGAAUUCAUCAACAAAAAGAGAUUACAUUUGAUGGGUUCAAGAGGAGUAAUGAAUAUGGGGGCAUUAGCAUCAAGGGCAAAUCGAAUGAGGACGAAGCUACAAUCAACAUUAGAAGCAAGUGUUCUUGAAAUUGAAGAUGUUUCACAUCAACAUGCUGGUCAUGCUGCUAUGAGAGAAGCUAAUUAUUGUGGUGGUGAAACUCACUUCAAUUUGAAGAUUGUUUCCCCUAAAUUUGAGGGUCAAAAUCUUGUUAAACGACAUCGUAUGGUGUAUGAUCUUUUAGCUGAUGAACUUCAGUCUGGUCUUCAUGCAAUCUCUAUCAAUGCUAAAACCCCACAAGAAGUUGCUAGCAAAUGAUCAAUUUUCAAGCCAAUGUUGGAAGCAAGGUUAAUUGGAUUCAGACUCUAGUCCGGACAGUGGGGCAAUGCAAGAGAGUAUCAUUGAUCUUUGUAUGGUUCAAGUGACCUAUCAAAAUUUAAAAGCACGACUUUUGUUUGAUUUGCCGAAUAAUUUGUGGUAUAACCAAGACUUAUACUCAUCUUAAUCACUCUGAGUAUUGUUGUUUGAUUUGACUAUACUCUGAGUUUAUGUAGCACCUUUGUCGAGUUUGCUUGGCAUCUUGUCACAUUAUCUUUGAAAUGUACCCAGUGGAGGUGCACUACAUUA
Molecule: long non-coding RNA, 843 nt
Organism: Chenopodium quinoa (quinoa)
Lineage: Eukaryota; Viridiplantae; Streptophyta; Magnoliopsida; Caryophyllales; Amaranthaceae
Exons: 3
Source: RefSeq, a predicted model, not a curated record